This is a long non-coding RNA of Ictidomys tridecemlineatus (thirteen-lined ground squirrel), 3697 nucleotides long. RefSeq lists it as uncharacterized. The record is from RefSeq and is a predicted model, not a curated record. Lineage: Eukaryota; Metazoa; Chordata; Mammalia; Rodentia; Sciuridae.
GUUCAGCUCAUUUUUGCUGUUUCCAGAGAGCUCCAGGGCCCUUUUCUUUGCUGGGAAACCACUAGUCCUCUUAGAUAACGGAGUGGAGAAAGUUGGGUAGGGCUGACCGACCCAAAAGAGCAGCAAGAAGUACCGAUGCAUCAAACAUAUCUAAGAAUCACAGUGAGGACCACCAACGGCAAGAUCUUCAGAAAAGUCAGCUAUUAUACAUAUAAAGGGUGUUGCAUGAGGAGACUGUGGCAUAACACUGCAUGAUGCUACCCACAGAAGAUGUUUCUGAAGUAUUGUUUGACUGAAGUCAUCCCAACCCACUGAAGAACUUACACUUAAGUCAUCCUAACGAAUAAGCAUAGAACUCUUUUCAGCAUAUGUGUCACAAACCACUUAUUAUUUUUUGGUACGUUUUCUCAUGUUAUAUAAUUAAUGAAGGAGGAAGCAGCUGGUUGUUUACAGUUACUUAACACGUCUCUUGACCCCAUUGCACUCAAUGCUGAGCCUGAAGUUCUCCAUUCCUGCUCUGGGUGCAAUGGGAACAAGCAUGAUGUUGACGACAUUCAAAUAUAGUGAAUUAAACAAACAGAACAGCAUGUGGGGAUGAAUUAUACCAAAUGAAGCCAAAGGUAAACUUGCCUUUGCACAAAUAAAUCUUUAAAAAUACAUGUUAUUUGUUCAGAGAGAAGAGUUUUAUAGCCAAUUAAGUUUGCUGAAGAUCAAUUUUUUGAUCACCCAAGAACCUUUGUUUUGAAUAGGUGGCUUGCUGGUAUGAAUAAAAGAGUGUGCCUGUAGGACAUGGUAGAUCUUCUAGAAGUGAUGACAUAAGGAUAGAACCAAUUUAACAUUUUUGGUAGGGAUUUCACAUGAAGUCUUCAUUUCUAAACCUCCAUUUCAUUUUUUCUGUAAAUGUCAAAGUCACUGUUGAGUAAAAUUGGUUCCGUUUCGUGUGUGUAAUGAACUCCACUGAAAUGUGUCAAACAGCUUUGGCACCUCUCACCACGUAGCGUUUCUUCUGUGCCAAUGAAUCAUUAUGGCAACAGCCAUCAAAUGAUGCUUGAUUUUUUUGUAAAUGUUUAUAUUUGUGGAUAAUAUGCCAAUCUGUUUGCAAACUGAUGCAUUUCCAGAUGAAGCCAUUUCAACAGUAUUACCCUCGUUCUAAAAUCAUAUUCCGCACAUUAGAUUAAUGAAGAUAAAAAUCAAAUGUGUUACAGCACAUAAAACCCGGUUUUAUAUGUAGUUGAGGCUCAAGGAAUAUUUGGGUUGAUACUCACAUAGGACAAAACAAACACAUUGGAAUCAGAGGACAUAGACAAAGUUCUUGUUUCACAUGGAGGGAGGAGCCUAAACUAUUUUGUUGUGAGAAGUGUCAGAAUAUGGUUAAAAUCAGACUCUAGCAUGCCACACAAUCAGGGUUAGAAUCUCAGGCCUGCCCAAGAGUAGUGGGACAAGAAGAGACCAAUUUGUGCCCCAAUUUCCUCAACUAAAAAUGGGAGGGUAUUAAUAGUACUUACCCUCAUGGAAUGGCAGUGCAGAUGAAAUUAACAAGUUCAACUAUUGCAUUACAAUGGUCAAAACCAUGUCACCCAGCAAAGAAUGUCUUAGCAGAGGACACAGGCAGGACAUAGGCUUAGGACCAGAUUUUGCCUUUUGAGCAGUUUUGGUUUUGUCUUUGGCAGUGAUGAAACUUAAGCCAGUUCCUAGUCUUCAGAAACCAGCAGAUCUCCGUCUCUGGGUUAACUUGAAACCUCAGAAGUCUGGUUCCAGAGUUGGUGGUGCAGCCUCUUGAAGCAGUGCAGAUGCUUCCCGGUGGCUACAGCCCUUACUGUUCCUUAUUGUGUCCCCUUCUGGGGCCUUAGGUUCAACUGCCAUUUACCAUCUCACUUUCACUUCAGUUUUCUUAGAGCUACUUAGUUUUUUUAGGUCCUUCUCUGCAUCCUGCCUGGCUCCUGAGGGCCUCUGGACUUGUAAACCCUGUUUUCCCCCAAAGAUUUAGUCAUGUGAACAAAGGAGAAGAGAAUGUGUUUCAUACUUUCAUUUAACUAUUCAUGAUAGGAAUUUUAAACAUUCCUGUAGCAGAGUGUAUGUUUGCAGAAAUGUAUGAAAAACUUGAUUUCGCAUUACCCUCUGUUUCUAUGUUAGGUUGUCUGGCAGCUACAUUAAUUCCUUUGGACACAUAGCCACUUAAAACAAUGAAGUUUAAACAAGACUGGGAGAUGUCUAAACCCACUAACUAAUUAGCAUGAAUGUUUUCAAAAUUUCAAUGAGUUUGCUCAUCUUUUAAUGCUCAAUGAAAAGGCAGCCUGAGAAUAUUGACUGGGAGCUAUGGGCUAGCAGUAAAGAGGGUAUCUUCGUGGGUAUGGGGAGUUCAAAACAGACUUAACCUUAUUAAAUUACAAAAGGCAUCACAUAUCUAAGUUUACCAUUAAGUAUUUAUAAAUUUGGCACACUAUACAUGGUUUUAAAGACUUGAUCUUGUAUAUAUAAUAUACAAGAAUAGCAUAAAUGUUUUGUUUUUGCUGACAUAUGUCUAAAUUUUUUUUUAUCACUGUCUUUCAAACUUUUAUCAAUGAUGUUUAACUCCUAGAUAAGAAUACUGGUUGACACUUGGUGUUUUCUAUUCCAUAACUUACUAUGUGUUAGGUACCAUCCUAAGCACAUCAUAAAGUUGUUUUGAUCUAAUUCUCACAACAAUUCUAUGAGGGGAAGUAAUAUUCUUCCAAUUUCUGCAGAUAAACUGAAGCUUAGAGAGGAUGAAGAAAUGGUUCAAGGUCAUGCAAUAUGUAUGUAAUGAACCUAAGCUAACUGAAGCAAUCAGAUUAGGGUAUCCUCACUCCAAACCCACAUGAAGGAGUCACAGGCCAGGCUGUUGCCCACAUGAUAAGUGAGCAAUACAGCUGUGACCUUAUAAUUGAGUCUUCAUGAUUCUCCUAAAAAAGAGCACCAAUACAGGUCUCCAAGAAGUAAAAUAAUUGUCACAAAGUUUAUAAGCUAAAUAAGAACAGCAAACAAAUAUUUGCACUGUGCCAGGUAAUAGGAUAAAUGCUCUACAAAUAUAUAUGUCUUACAGUGGUCCUUUGAGAUGAGAACCAUAUUCUUAUUCUGUUUUAGAGAUGAGAAGCACAGUCUUAGAGGGACUGGAGACUUUGCCCAAGGGUACACAGUAAGUGAAGCGCAGAAAUUGGAUAAAACCCAACUAACCUAGACGUUCCUUCUUAAUCCUAACACCCACUAUUUCAUUUGUAUUUUGCUCUUGGAAACAGCAUCUAGGUUUUAUUUACUCUCAUUUCAGACAAAACUUGAACAAAUUUAUCGUCAGAUUUCUAAAUCCCCAACAAAUUGAACAAAAAGGCAAGGAGUGCUAGAAGCUGGAGCAUCCACAUUAGUGGGAAGGAAUAGCUAAAAGGCUCAGGGGGAGUGGUCACAUAAGGCAGGCAGAAGAACUGGAGGUAGAACAGAGUCAGGGGCUGGCCUUGGGAGAGCCGAGAAGUCCUGCGCUCCACGCCAAGAACAGGGCGUGGCAUACAGUAACACCAGAUAAAUAUUUGUCAAAUAGGUGACCUUAUGGAUGAACACAUGCUUGGCUUCAUGUAAGAAUGACUGAAUGUGUGCUUUGAUAAUAUGACUGAAGACUGCAAGAAUGGACAUGAGUAUUUCACAGCACUGGAGGGUACCACUGUUUGUAAAUACAGCUCCAGAAAACACA